Molecule: long non-coding RNA, 739 nt
Filed under: Glycine max (soybean)
Lineage: Eukaryota; Viridiplantae; Streptophyta; Magnoliopsida; Fabales; Fabaceae
Description: long non-coding RNA (GMAX_LNC001593)
Source: RNAcentral
UUCAAUUGGUUAUCAUUGUGGUAGCUAGUAGGAAUCUUCACAUCAGGUGAUAUCUUUCCUUACCUUCUUCAUCUUUCUAUUUGUACCUUGAGUGGGGUGCCCAGGGAAACUAUGUGAUAGGAUUCUACAUAGGUGGGAAAGUUCUUGUGGGCUCAAGAACUUGGAGCAAUUGUAGAGUUCAAUUAUAUGUGAUGAUUGUAUGUAAACUUUAAGGUUUUCAGGAAUUUUGAGGGACCAGAUCCAAGACCAGUUCCCCGUGCUGAUAUUCUGGUUGGCAGGAUCAAGGUUGAGCCAACGUAGUGUUUUUCCUCCUAACAUCCAUAGGAACAGAAGUAGCUAGAGAGUGCCAUUGAAAAACACUAUCCAUAUAGAUAUCUUUCAGGCAAAGAUGGGAAUCCAAUAUGCAAGCAGUCUACAACUCCCCAAGGCAACCAUCAGGCAGGAAUUUAUCGAACCAGAACGAGAUAUUACCAUCUCCUGGUCUGAGUCUGAGGGGAAGCCUUAACUAUAGACGCCCACAAGUAUAAGAAACUGGGUUGUAACAAAUGGUUCACCUAAUUUCCUCUUUAAUAAUUGUGUUAAGGGGAUAAUUUCGGUUUUAAUUCUUCUUUUAAUUGAUCAGCGAGGGCUUUCAUCAAAAUAUUUUUUGUUUUAGCAAAGAUUUUAGAAUUUGCAAAGAAUUUCAAAGGGAAUCAAUUCGUCCCCCUCUUAGAUUCCAGUUUCCGACCUUUGCUCCAAC